This 253-nucleotide ribosomal RNA is filed under the name uncultured bacterium. Its description in RNAcentral is "partial 16S ribosomal RNA". It matches the Rfam family "Bacterial small subunit ribosomal RNA", at positions 524 to 776 of the family's 1533-position model. The record is from RNAcentral.
UACGUAGGGUGCAAGCGUUGUCCGGAAUUAUUGGGCGUAAAGAGCGUGUAGGCGGCCCCGUUAGUCCGCUGUGAAAGUCCAGGGCUCAACCCUGGGAUGCCGGUCGAUACUGCCGGACUAGAGUUCGGCAGAGGCGAGUGGAAUUCCCGGUGUAGCGGUGAAAUGCGCAGAUAUCGGGAGGAACACCAAUGGCGAAGGCAGCUCGCUGGGACGUUACUGACGCUGAGACGCGAAAGCGUGGGGAGCAAACAGG